RNAcentral lists this long non-coding RNA (246 nucleotides) under Capsicum annuum. RNAcentral describes it as "long non-coding RNA (CANN_LNC004515)". The record is from RNAcentral. Lineage: Eukaryota; Viridiplantae; Streptophyta; Magnoliopsida; Solanales; Solanaceae.
GGUAUCUCAUCCGGCCCCGUCGCCCUACCCCUUCGCAUCCUGCGGACUGCCUGUCUAACCUCGUCUACCUUAAAACGUCUACAAUAGCUAAAAUCCCGACACUCCCCUGAGUGCUCCAGUUCCCCUAACACAAUAGCUCUGUCCCCCUCGUCAUUCAAGAGACUAUGAAAGUACGACUGCCAUCUCUUCUUUAUGUGGCCGUCCUCCACCAACACUCUACCGUCCUCCCCCUUAAUGCACCGCACA